UACGUAGGGUGCGAGCGUUGUCCGGAAUUACUGGGUUUAAAGGGUGCGUAGGCGGCCAUGUAAGUCAGGAGUGAAAGUUUGCGGCUCAACCGUAAAAUUGCUUUUGAUACUGCAUGGCUGGAAUCAGGAUGAGGUCAGCGGAAUGUGGCAUGUAGCGGUGAAAUGCAUAGAUAUGCCAUAGAACACCAAUUGCGAAGGCAGCUGGCUAGACCUGUAUUGACGCUGAGGCACGAAAGCGUGGGGAGCGAACAGG
Molecule: ribosomal RNA, 253 nt
Filed under: uncultured bacterium
Lineage: Bacteria
Description: partial 16S ribosomal RNA
Rfam family: Bacterial small subunit ribosomal RNA
Source: RNAcentral